UUAUUUUUUCUGAAAUAAGGGGAAAUAAGGUGAACAGAAUAAAACUUAAACUAGUUGGUGUCCAAGUCGAAGUUUUGUUCAUGAAAAGCUUGACUUUGGACCUCACCUUAAUUGUAUUUUCAAUGAUAGAUCUCUUUCCCUUUCCACAUGUCAUUCACAAUUAAAAAAAUUGGAUGCCAAAUUGCCAAUAUAGCUUUAUCACAUAAUUAUCAUAAUAACACUUUAGCCAAAGUAAGCGUAUAUGAUUCCUCCCAAAUCCAUUAAGACAUCAAAUAAAUGAAUAAUACACAACUAAUUAAAACGACUAUUUCUUUUUGUCCACCAUGACAAAUUCGCUAAGAUAAGUUGAGAAUAUAUGCCAUUCUUAGCUCAAAACAAGAUUCCGAGCUUAUGGCAUACCGUCAAUUUUAGGUGGGACGAAUUUUUUAUAAACACGUCAUCAUUUAAAAUAAACACGGUCAAAUUAGUCUCACAACAUGUAUACAGUAUAGGAGUACAUUAUUAUAUACGCGAUAUUUGUAAUUACAUAAGUGGAGUAUAUGUAACCAAGUGUGUCUUGGCCUAGUGGAAAGGAUUCCGCCUUCCAACCAAAAGAUUGGGGGGUUCAAUCCCCACUAGGGGCACUUUGAGGGAGGGUUCCCCUUAUCACUCCCCCCACUCUCAAAGUGUCUAGUCUGCCAACCAAAAAAAGUGGAGUAUAUGUUCGCCUUACCACCCCGGUCCCCCACUACCCAAGUUCUAUAUAUAUGUGUUCCGGAAAAUCAUUUAAACUCAUCAAUCUAAUCCCAAAAUACCCUACUAGCUACCCAACGUAACACUAGUAAUGAACUCAUAUCCAUUUUACUCUGGUCACUCCAAUGACCACCAUAACAACCACAAUGGCUUAAGUGGCAUGUUCGAUAACCACCACGGCAACCACAGCAACAACCACGGUGUUCCAUAUUAUGGCGGACACAGUGGAGGCCAUCAUGGUCAUGACAACCACCUCGCUGUCCCAUACUAUGGCCAUGGUGCAAACCAUCAUGGUCAUGACAACCACCACACUGCAAUCCCAUUUUAUGGCCAUGCUGGUGCUGGGAUGGGCGGUAUGGGUCAUCAAGGUUACAUGCACCAUGGAAAUGGACACCAUGGGAUGGGCUACAAGAAGGGCAAGAAACACCAUUUUGGACAUCAUGGUGGUGACAGCAGCGGGAGUGACAGUGAUUAAUUAAUAUGGAUGAGCAAGCUAUGUGCAACGAGGAACUGGCUGGGUGGAAAUCUGAGUACUCCCCAAUUCAAGUCCUUUAUCUCAUGCAGGAGUAUGUAGUAAAAUAAUAAUGGCAUAUCAUAUGCUGAUCGAUCGAUAUGAAUGAAUUGUUGUACUACUUUCGUUCUUUGUACUAGAAACCGUUUUUAUUUUUUAUUUUUGACAACUCUUUGUACUAGAAAAUAUCUACUACUAUGAACUUUUAUAUUAAAUGGUCGUACUUUUUCCGUCUCA
Long non-coding RNA from Spinacia oleracea (spinach), 1480 nucleotides. RefSeq lists it as uncharacterized. The transcript is spliced from 2 exons. Lineage: Eukaryota; Viridiplantae; Streptophyta; Magnoliopsida; Caryophyllales; Amaranthaceae. The record is from RefSeq and is a predicted model, not a curated record.